This 16973-nucleotide long non-coding RNA is filed under the name Olea europaea (common olive). Its description in RNAcentral is "long non-coding RNA (OEUR_LNC006440)". Lineage: Eukaryota; Viridiplantae; Streptophyta; Magnoliopsida; Lamiales; Oleaceae. The record is from RNAcentral.
AAUCAAGAGAAACAAGAGAAACAGGUUGAUUAAACAUGAUAUUACUCAAACAUGGAAAACUUGGAAUUCGCAAUUGUGACCCCCCCAUCAACAAAAAGGUUGUGUCCAUGAACACACUUCGACUCAUCACUAGCCAAGAACAGAACAGCUUCAGCCACAUCCUCUGGCUUAAGUAGAACACCUUUGAGGAUAGAAUAUACAUUGCCGAAUCCCUCAUCAUCCAUUUUGUAGAAAUCCUUCGACUGUCGUGUAGGAACUACGUGUGGUGACACACAAUUUACGCGAAUACCAUAUUUUCCAAGCUCCACAGCCAAAUUCUUCGUGAGUCCUACCACCCCAUGUUUUGAACUUACAUAAUUGUGUGAAGAACCACCGCCUAUUUUCGAACAAGUACUCGCUGUCGUGAUUAUGUUCCCACUGCGAUUCGGGAUCAUUACCCGAGCAGCGUGUUUAGCACCCAAGAACGCACCUACAAGGUUUACAUUAAUAAUCUUUUCGAACUCUGAUUUUUCGAUUUCAAGAAUGCUUGGAUUUGGUAUCCCCCCAAUACCAGCAUUAUUGUGCAGAAUGUCUAAUUUCCCAAAUUUGGCAACAGCCGUGUCAACUGCAGUUUCUACAUCGGAUUCUUUAGUUACAUCACAGUGGACAAAAGAGGCUGAUGAUUUUCCCAAUUCCUUGCAUACUUUCUCUCCCAAUUCAUCAUUGACGUCUGCAACCAGAACUUUAGCACCAUGUUUGGCGAACAGUCUGGCAGUCGCCUCGCCGAUUCCAGUAGCAGCACCGGUGAUUAAUGCUACCUUCCCUUCCAGCCUAGGUUCAUACAUUUUGUUAGUACAAUAUUCAUAGUCAACCCAACUAUCAAAAUAACAUGCCUUGUACUUUGAGAAAGAAACCUCAAGAAUUAAUAGUUUAUCAGAAUGCAGUAUCAUGAAAAAUUAAAGAGUAAUACCUUCUAAUCAAAGUUGAAGCCAUUGAUGAACUUCCCACAGAGCUUCUUUGCUGCGAAUGUGAAUUGGUGUUUCUCUGCACUUUUAAACGUCUUUUAUAAUGCUAAUCGUAGAGAUAAUAAAGACGUUCACACGCAAGUUGGCAUUUAUUUUUAACUAAUCUGAUUUUCUAGAGGACUAUUCUCUCUUUCGAAGUAAUUUCCAACUCAAUUAGGCAUUUAUUUCUUAAUAAACUCCUGAUUUUUAGGAUAAUUGUUAUCUCUUUCCUUGUCAUAUCCAACGCAAUUAGUCAUUUUUUCCUAACUAAUCUGAUUUUUCAGACAGUCAUUGUCAACGCAAGCAGGCAUUUAUUUCUGACUAGUCUUAUUUUUCAGAUAAUUGUUAUCUGUUCCCACGUCAUUUCCAACGCAAGAUCUGAUUUUACAGAUAAUUAUUAUCUGUUUCCACGUCAUUUCCACGUACUUGUGUCCACGAUGAUUGAAUUAUUGCAAUACUUCAAAUAAUUUUCACGCGGCCUUCUCGAAAAUAGAAUUAAUUCACUUCUUAACAUUAUCAGUCUCAUUAAAGUUUAUAAGGUUGAAUGAUAGCACACUAAUUUACUUUAUUUUGUUUGACCUAAAUAUUUAAGUAUUGUAGAAGAUAAAAGAAAUCAAUAUUGGAAUUAUUUUGUAACUUACAUUAAAGGAAAAAAUAUGUAAAUACAACACUUUAAGUAUACAAUUUCACAUUUAACAAAUUCAUAAAAAUGUUUUAUAAAUCAAGUGCUAAAUGAUAAUAUUAUAUACAUUAUUGAAGCUGAAAUUUAGGGACUAUAGUUUAAAUUAGAAAUAUUUGAUAAACAUUAUCACAACAUAGUAAGUAGCAUUAUACUCCCUCCGCCCCAUUUAUAUAGGCUGAUUUUUUUAUUUUUUAUUUUUUUUUGGGUUCCAAUUAUAGUCCAGUUUCUUUAUUGAGAAUAUUUUGUUUUGUUUGUUUACUAAUAUACCCACAUUUAAUUUGCUUAGUUAUAACCAAAAUUUCUCAUUUAAUCUUGAAAUUGUACAAACAUAAAUAAGGGCAAUCUAGAAUUUUUUUUUUAAUAACAUUAAAUAAGUUUUCUUAAUUCCUAUGAAAAACAAAACCAUCGUAUAUAAAUAAGACGGAGGGAAUAUAUCGUUAAUAUAUAACAGAGUCUCUCACCUUGCAUUCUCUCUCUCCUCGCAUUUUCUCCCCCUUACAAUAAAUAACUCAUGACUCACCAAAAAUCUUCUACACCUCACUCUUUCAUUCUCUAUGUUAGCUUACGCAUUUUUGUAUAAUGCUAUUUGUACAUAAUAAUUUACAUAAACAUGAUGUGAUGAAAUAAAUUGAGUCAAAAUUUCUUCAAUAAAAAAAAUUCACUCACUUUUUGACACAUCAUCUGUAUGCAACUUAUUAUGUAACUCUAUUAAAUACAAGUAGCAUUUUUUUUUUUAAUUUGGUUGAAAAAAUUAUGAUCCAAUCAUAACUCAUUAUAUUAUGUGUAUGUAAAUUAUUAUGUAUAUGUAGCACAAUCACAAUUUUUUUUUUAUCUCUCUACUAUAUAUUAUUAAAUAGACUACAUAUACAUAAUGGUUUACAUACACAUGAUUUUGGUGAAAUAUACAAGUAACAUUAUUUUUUUCUUUUUAUUUGGUUGAAGAAAUUAUGACAUGAUCAUAACUCACUAUAUCGUGUGUAUGUAAAUCAUUAUAUAUAUGUAGCACAAUCGCACUUUUUCCUCUCUCUACUAUAUUUUAUUCAAUGGGUUACGCUACGUGUACAUAUUGAUUUAUAUAGAAAUGAUGUAGUGAGAUAUGAUAAGGUUAGAAUUUUUUCAACAAAAAAAAAUUUGUCUCUUUUUACACAUCAUCUGUAUGUAAACCAUUAUAUAACUCUAUUAUAUACAAUUAACAUUAUUCUUUUAUGCCCCCAGGGCAUAUCUCCCAGUGGCAAAUGGGAGGGCGGAUAGGGCUCAGCGCGGCAGUGUGCAGAGUUUGAUUCCCCGCAAGGUGGAAUUGGCUUUGUUGCAAGCGGGAGUUACCAUAUGGGUUAACAGCCUUGACCUAUCCAUGUGCUCUCCACCCUGGCUCCUGGGAGGCACAUCCUGCGAUUUACCUCCCCCACGAUGGCCCAGGGCAGGGUCGGUGGGGGCCCUUAAGGUUGGGGUUCAACCUUUUAACAUUAUUCUUUUCUUUAUUUGGUUGAAGAAAUUAUGACCCAAUUAUAACUCACUAUACCAUGUUUAUGUAAAUUAGUAUGUACAUGUAGCAAAAUCGCACUCUUUUUUUCCUCUCUAUUAUGUAUUAUUUAAUGGGUUGUGCUACAUGUAAAGAAUGGUUUACAUAAACAUGAUGUUGUGAGAUAUAAUUAAUUCAUUAUUUCUUUAACCCAAAAAAAGUAAAUAAAUAAAUAAAUUCUCCACUCUCUUUUUGACACCUUAUUAGUAUGUAAGUUCAGCCUCAAUUUGGGAUUCAUUCACCUCUACAGGUUCAAGAACAAGUUUAGUUUGCUGAUGAACAAGAUUAUUAUUAUCAUCUUCAGUUCAGCCUCAAUUUGGGUUUCAUUCACCUCUACAGGUCCUGGAGUAGAUUUAGUUUGCUGAUGAACAGGAUUAUUACUAUCAUCUUCAGGUUGAGGUAAGUCAAAUUUAGCUAACUUCAUCUCACUUUGAACUGUCCUGUCAUUUUCAAAUUUAUUUAUCUUACUAAAUUCUUAUUUUAGACAUGACAUUUCAAAUUCAUUGAAGACUAUAUGUCUACUAUUGAUGAUCUUAAUGCCCGGGACACCAAAAACCCAUAACAUGUAUUUUUUCACACUUUCUAGGUAACCUAGUGAUAAGUGUAUUUUAUACACUUAUUCGGGACUCUAAAAUAACGAUAUUUGAUAGUUCUUUGGCAAAAUACAUUCUAAAUUGUUGUCUUUUACGUUUAACAGGUGAAAAUCUACGAUUGAAAAGGAAGUGAAGGAGAGAAGCAAAAACGAGCGGAAAUAGCAAAAUCCAAAGUACAUGAAUUAAAUUGGCCAUUGGAUGCAAUUUUUGGGAAUCAAAGUCUAACUAUAAAAAUUGGACUGAUUUGCAUCGCUUUGAAAAUUGAGUACUUGGAGAAAAAUAAUCUACUAAGUGGGCUCAAUUGGACUUGCUUUGAAAUUCAAAUUGAAGAUUUACUAGGACGGUUGGACCUCUAAUUGGACUAGAAGAGCUGCUAGGUUGCAUUGCAUCGUAGGAUUCAUAUAUAUACACACAGAAAAUCCAAAGAGCCGGGGGGAGCAGCCUGGGAAAUAAUAUACAUUGGCAGCUACAAGAAUUAGGGAGACAGAAAAAAAAACAAGAGGCAGGUCGGCAUCUUUGGGAGGAGAAUUCUGCCAUCAAAGAUAUAAACACAAGUGCCGACUGCUAGGGGAUAGAGUGGAGAAAAAUCUGUGCUUUACUGGAGUGAGAAACACGCACAUAAAACGAAGGAAGAGGGGAUAGAUACAAGUUGCUGGCGGCAAGGAAGAAUUGGAGAAGAAAGAAGCAGCCAAUUAAUAUUUAGACUCACGCACAAAGAAAACGUCACCAGCUAGGAGGAACAAUAAUUAUAUACACGCAGUUGCAAUAUUAUAUAUUUACACAAACAUUGGGCGGUGACGUGAAGGAUUGUUCGGCACAAACACGGAAGUAGAUAUAUACACAUACGCCCACAGAUUCAUAAGGGUUGUUGCCGGCUGGUUUCAUUAAAAAAUUAUACACACGGGAAGACACUUUGGCAGAAAACAUAAAACACAUACACGCAUAGCAAAGACCAGAUUUGGAGAUUGAAUUGAAGGCUGUUUUUGGAGGGUUGCUUUUGGCUGAAAUAUAACACAUUGGCAUGAGCUUUUUGGGAAGAAAAAGAUACAAAAAGGAGGCAACCCAUUGGAAUAAAAAGAGAAAGACGGAGAUUUACUUUGGAAAUUAUUCACGUUUCGUUAAUUUCUCGGUGACGUUCUUCCAAUUUUAUGUGUUUAAUUUCAACAUCAUGUUAGGCUAAUUUUUCUCAUGUAUUGGAUGACGAUAAAAUUCGUUAUUAUUUAUUUUUAAUUCAAGACAUGUGGUUUAGUUAAAUUCUUGCAAUUAUUGAUUAAUCUUGCAUGCUUACUUUUAUUAUUUGAUUGUCUGAUCACCAAUUAAAUAUAUAGUUACUUAUUGUAGUGUUGGGAGGUUCACAAUAAGUUUAGAACAUUGCAUGAUUAACAUAUGUACAAUAAAUUUUAGGAAUAAGAUUUAUAACGUGUGCAAUCUUUGAGAUAAUUGUGAAAUUGAAUACAUUUUAUUCAUAUGAAUUCAGACUAGGAAUAAGAUUUAUCACGUGUGCAAUCUUUGAGAUAAUUGUGAAAUUGAAUACAUUUUAUUCAUAUGAAUUCAGACUAGGAAUAAAAUCGGAUCGUGAAUAGGAUAGAUUUAAUUUGUCUUGGAAAGGAAAAUUAAUUACAAUAAAAUUAUCGAUUGUCAAGAAUGCAAGAGCGAAACUAGCUACGUAAUCGAGAAUUGGAAUAGAUAAUAAUAAGUGGAUUCGUAAUCCAACACAUUCUUCCCAUAUACAUUUUAAAUUCGCAUUUUAUACAUUUUCAUAGAUUUCACAAAAAUCACUUUUAAUUUGUUCGCUUUGAAUCUAAUUAAGAACUAAUACACUAAGUUAAAUUUUAUUCCUCGUGGGACGAUACUCUAACUCACUAAAUCUAUUACUUGUACAACGAACCCAUACGUUUGCGAAAUUCACACGAACACCUAGCAUCAGACAUUUGAUGGUCCUAAGUUCAAGUUUCCCUUCAAAUUGAUGUGCAUAUGCAGUACAUCUAAAAACUCUUAUAUGGGUUAAGUUUAGGGGCUCCCCUAUCCACAAUUUUUAUGGAGUUUUAAAGCUUAUACUGCUAGAGGGAGACUUGUUUAUCAAGUAAGCUGUUGUACAAGUAGCUUUAGCCCAAAAACCUUUGGCCAAGCCAAAACUGAUAAGCAUGAAUCUAUAUUUAUUCAUUAUGGCCAAGUUCAUUCUCUCAACAACCCCAUUUUGUUGAGGCAUGUAUUUUAUAGUCCUAUAUCUCAUUAUUUACAAAAAUUAUCAAAUUCUACAUUACAAAAUUCAAGCUCAUUAUCAGUUCUUAGUGUUUUUAAUUUUUCUCUAACUAAUUUUCAACAGCUUUGAGCCAAGUUCUAAACUUGUGAAAGGUUUCAGACUUAGCCUAUAAAGGGUAAAUACAAACCUUCCUAGAAAAAUCAUUUAUAAGGGAUAGAAAGUAAUUAUACCAAAUGUAGAAUGCUUCUCAAGACACCAAAGUUCACCAUGUAUAUAGUCCAAGGACCUAUUAGUUCUAUGUGAGAUAGACUCAAAACUCACCUUGUCAGACUUAUCCAAUACAUAAGUCUCACAAAAGUCCACAGUCUCAAUAACAUCUUUUUCAAGUAAUUUUUGAUUACUUAAAGAUUUUAAUCUUUAUUUCCAAUAUGACCCAUUCUAUUGUGCCAAAGUUCAGAUUUAUUUUCAUUUACAGUUAGUAGACUUGGAUUAGGUGCUAUAACUGUUUUGCUUUCUAGAUAAUAUAGACCAUUUCUUUUAGGUCCUUUCAUUACAAUUAAAGAGGCCCUCAUAAUUUUCAAAGUUUUAUUAUCAGAUUUGAAGGUAUAUCCCUCAUCUUCAAGGAACUCUAAUGAAAUAAAGUUCCUUUUCAAAUUCGGGAUAUAUUUCACAUUCUUGAUUGGCCUGACAAUGCCAUCAAACAUUUCGAUAGCAAUAUCACCAGUUCCAUUCAUACUCUGAGAAUUAUUAUCUCCCAGAUACACAUUUCCAAGUUCUAUUUCCUUAUAAUUAUAAAACCAUGAUCUUUCAGGGCACAUAUGACAACUGUAUCCAAUAUCUAGAAUCCAAUCUUUAUUAGGUUCUUCAUUUGACACGUUUAGUAUAUGUAAGCUAUCUAAUUCAGAUAAAUGCAAAAUUAUAGAACAAUAGGCAAUUUCAUUCAUCUCUUCAAUUUCAGCAGUUUUUGCUUUUAACUCAUAGAAAAUGUUUCAAGAUCAUCAAGAACCUUUACAACCCUUUUUGGACUAAGUUGGCCCUCAUUUUCUGCUUCCGUAUAGGAUAGUCCCCCUUUCUAUUGAAUUGAGACAAUUUGACUUUCAAACCCAUUAUGGAUUCCGUUACAUAAUUAAAACUAAGAAUAUAGAAGCAACAAAUUUAGAUUUAGAAGAUUUUAAAAUAUAUAUAAAAGAACUCUUGGAAUUAGGAGUAAUUAGAAAAUCAAAUAGCCCUCAUAGAUCAGCAGCCUUUAUAGUUAGAAAACAUUCAGAAAUUAUUAGAGGAAAAAGUAGAAUGGUCAUUAAUUAUAAAAGAUUUAAUGAUAAUACUAUAGAUGAUGCUUAUAAUAUACCAGAUAAGACAGUUUUAAUAAAUAAAAUACAAGAUUGUAAAAUUUUUAGUAAAUUUGAUUUAAAGCCAGGAUUUUGACAAGUAAAAAUGCAUCCAGAAAGUAUUAAGUGGACAUCUUUUACCUGCCCAGAAGGACAUUUUGAAUGGCUCAUAAUGCCAUUUGAAAUUAAGAAUGCACCAAGUAUUUUUCAAAGAAAAAUGGAAAGUAUUUUUAAUAGACAUAGUAAGUUUGUAAUAGUAUACAUAGACGAUAUUUUAGUAUUUAGUAAAAAUAAACAAGAACAUAGAGGACAUUUACAAAUAGUAUUUUCAGAAUUUAUUAAACAUGGUCUAUUAAUUAGUAAAAAGAAAAUGAUUUUAUUUAAAGAAUUUAUAGAUUUUCUAGGAGUUAAUAUAGGAGAAGGAAAAAUUGAGUUAUAACCCCAUAUUGCUAAAAAAGCAUUAGAAUUUCCAGAUAAAUUAGAAGACCUAAAACAAAUCCAAAAAUUUUUAGGAUUAGUAAAUUAUGCUAGACCAUUUAUAAAAGAUCUGGGAAAAAUAGUAGGACCCUUAUAUGCUAAGACAUCUCCUACAGGAUAAAGAUUUUUUAAUCAAGAAGACAUAAAACUAGUGCAACAAAUAAAAGAAAAAAUAAAAACUUUACCAGAACUAGCUAUGCCACUAGAUUCAGAAUACUUAAUCAUAGAAACAGAUGGAAGUAUGAUAGGAUGGGGAGUUAUACUAAUAUGCAAACCCAAUAAAUAUACUGAUAAAAGUACAUAAAAAAUUUGUAGGUACAAUAGUGAAAAUUAUAAAGAGAAAGGAAACUUAAGUAGUAUAGAUGCAGAAUUAUUAGCUAUAAAUUAUGCAUUAGACAGUUUUGAACUAUUUAUUAUAUCUAAGAAAUAAAUAACUAUAAGAACAGACUGUAUAGCUAUAGUUUCCUUUGUCAAUAAAAUGAAAAUAGAUUCAAAAAGAAGUAGUAGAAGAAGGUGGUUAAAUUUUAUAGAUAGAAUUACAAAUACAAGAAUUAAUAUAGAAUUUGAGCAUAUUAAAGGUAGUGAUAAUAAAGCAGCAGAUAUACUAAGUAGAAUAAUAAUAGAUAGAAAUUAUUAAAUUUGCUUAACAUAAUUUUGUUAUACAAAUGAUAAGACCAAGGCCUAUAAGACCAGGAAUUCCACCUGGGAAUUCAUUUGCAUCAAGACUAUUACCACAGACUCCAUUUAAUCAGAACAGACCAAUGUUACAAGACAGAUUAAGGUUUGAAAACCAAGAACUUAUAGUGUUUCCCAAUAGUAAUAUUUCUUUUAAAAUUUUACCGCAUAUUUCUUUAUCUAGAGAAGAGAAAUGUAUUUUAGACAAUUUAUGGAUUUCUUAUAAUAAGAAUCCAAAAGACCAAAUAUAUUUUCUUGCAUGCAUGAAUGCAUUGUCAGAACACUUUUGUCAGAACAAGCAAAGGUUUAAAUUCUAUGUUGUUAUUAAAGGAAGAACUCCAGGAAUUUUCCAUUCUUGGAUAGAAGUUUUAGACUGUAUUAAAAAUUUUCCAGACCCUCUUUACAAAGGUUUUACAAAUUUUCAAGAAGCAUUAGAUGUUGCAAGACAACAGUUAGGAAUAAAUUUUUAUUUAUCUCCUUCUUUAAAGAACUACUCAGACCCUCCAUUAGACUUUUCUCCAAGUAAAGACCAGAAUAUUUUUUGUCAACACUGUGAGUGUAUGCAGAGAAACUACAAAGUUAUUAAUGAAGCCAACCAGAACCUUUCAAUAGAAAGAACCCAACUCCAAAAGAAAGUGGCCCAACUAGAAAAAGAGAUUUUGGAUUUAAAAGUCCAUUAUCCAACAGGUACUAUGGAGCCCAAGAAGUCCAUAGCUAGUCCAGCCCAAACGGUAGCUGGUAAAGACUUAUCAAAUCCGUUGAAGGUUGUGGACUUACCAAAAGCCCAACAGAUUCAGGGGACUGUUGAUUCCUCUACUAAAUUAGAUAAUCAGACUUAGCAGACUGAUAAAUCUACUACAGAAAAAGGUAAAUAAAUUUGGGAUCUUUUAGGAUAGCUCAGCAAAAAAUUUGAUUACUUAGUUAAAUACAGCCCACCAGAUCAUUUUUCACCAGAAUAUUUUUCAAAUAAUCCAGAAUUUUCACAAGCCCAAGAAAUUCAGUUCAGUAAGGGAAAAGAAAAAAUGGUAGCUCAAGAUAGCCAAGACUGUUUAUUCCUUCAAGAAUCACAAGAUCCUAAUCCAGAUACUGUUUCUUUAGAAAAGAUUUUUGAAAAAAUUGAAGAAUUUCAGAAGCAAUCCAAAAAAGACGAAAGAAUUUGAACAAUUAAUUAACAUGGGUAGUAAUCCAUAUAAUUUUGUUAGUAAAAUACAGAUAUUAAUAACAGGAGCAGACCCAAAUUCAGGACAUAUGAGUAUACAAAGAAAAGUUAUGAGAGAUUUAGAACAACUUAGCUUUUAUAUAUGGACUAAAGGAAGAUAUGUUAAGAACUUUUUAAAUGAAUAUCAUUAUUUAACUUCAAUAUUAGGAAAUACAUUUAAUCAAGAAAUUGGUAAAAAAUUGUUUCAUAAAUUACCAGGACCAUUAGGAUUAGAAAUCACAGAUAAAUGGAAUAAUUUACCAGCAGUAAAUAUGUAUGUAAUAGUAAUGAACAUUUAUCCAAGACUUGUCCAAAAAGAAUAAAUAAUUAUGAUAAGAAAAACACAUUAAUAGAAUGUACUAAUGAAGAUAUAAUACAAUUAGAUGAAUAUAUCUCAGAUAAAGAAUCUAUUUAUAGCAUUAUAUCAAUAGAAGAUAAAAAUUUAGAAGAAAAUAAAGAAUUUGAUUAUGAAAUAAUAGAUGAAUUCUAUAUAUAUAUAUAUUAAAAACUUUCAGUUAAAUAUAUUAGGGUACAUGUAUAAUGCUCAAAUAGCAAUUGCAGGCUAAUAACAUAGAUAUAUGUAUAUCAAUAGUUCAAAAGAAUUAGAGUAACAUAUAUCUUAUACAGAAAAAUAUCGAACCGAAUUUACAGAGGGAGAUUCAGAAAGAUCUUAUCAAUACUGCUUAAACAGUAUUAUUGAUAUAAUGCCUUAAAUCAAGCCAACAACUAGAGACUUCAAUUAAGCGACCUUCCAUCUCAAAAACAAAUAGAUCAAUGAAUGGUGUAUUGCCUAAAUUUAUCAUAGUUUAAAGACAAGAUACCAAAAAUAAGCUAUUUGUGUAGAUCGUUUCCGAUCUAUGUAGAUUCGAAGAACCGGUGUACCCUAAGGAGGUAUAUUCCGUAAGAGACACAAAACCCAUGGACCUUGAAUGCUCCGAUACUAGUUUUGUUGGGUAUUUGCGGUUGAUUUGUGUAUUGAAUCAAAGCACAAAACAUCACACACAAUAAAAACAAAAAGACAAACACAAGAUCACCAAGAAAUGUAGACCCAAUUCAACCAAUAGACCUAAUCUCAGGGGCUCAGGGAUAACCUAUUCCACUAGUGCAUAAUCUACCUUCCAAGAAAGCAAGAUUACAUAAAGAACCACUCGGACAAGGUUUUAGUCAUAGAUCAAACAGAUCCUGUAAAACUAGUAAACUGACCCAAAAUAAACCAACCAAAAAUAUAUGGAGUUAGUCUAUACAAGAACAACCACUCUCUCAGGCCUGAUCGUAUAUACAUGCUACAAGCUCCAUUUGGAUCAAUUGCAAAAACCUCAAAUACUAGAGAAGAAUUUUUUAGCGUAAAGACAAAAGAGAAAACCAAGGGAAGAGAGAAAAUCGAAACAUCUGGAAUGACCCAAAGUCUUUUGACCUAGACCACUAAAGAGACACUUUGGAUUCCAAGGUAAAAUCUCAGCCCUUGAUCGAAUCUAACGGCUCGGAAAGAGCUUUAACUAGCACAAUCCGUGUGCACACCAAAUGGCCAAUGUCUCUUGACCUAGACCACUAAAGAGACGCUUUGGAUUCCAAGGUAAAAUCUCAGCCCUUGGUCGUAUCUAACGGCUCAGAAAGAGCUUUAACUAGCACAAUCCGUGUGCACACCAAAUGGCCAACAGAUGGAUGCGACUUAAGCAGGGAUAUCUAACUAGGCAGCAAGGACAAAAUGACACAAAUAGCACUCUUUUUAAAGUGUUUUGAGAAACACGAUUUUUCACAAGUUGGAUGAAUUCUGAUUGUUGAAACCCAUAAAAAAUAGUAUAAUUAAGAGCACUGUAAAGAAAAUGGACGGUUCAAAAUAUUACCUUCCAAAGACCAGUUUCAAGUACAUACUUCUGUGCAAUUUCCUUUGCAGAAGACUUAUUCUUGAUUUGCUCCCUUUUUUCCUUCACAGCUCUGACCAUGAACCUGUUGAAACUGAACUUGGAACUCGAAAUUGAGGCAUCAAACCUACUUAAUUUUCCAUUAUCGAGCAAAAUUGAAGAAAAGAUAGGCUUAUUGUUCAAGUGUUGAGAAAAGAGUUGCAGAAAUGUGGCUAUUGUGUGUGAGGAGAGAGAGAGAAUUUGAUAUUUCGGAAGAGAUCUACUACAGGAACAGGAUGAAUGACAAGAUUUUAUACAGGUAUAUACUUGACAAAAUUUCGUUGGAAGUUAAAAUAAAAAGGAAAAAGAAAAUCUGACAAUCAAAAACUACUAUUUCAACACUUGAAAACGGCCCUUGUUAAUUUGCAAUUAACCCUAUGCAACUAGUUUAAUCCAUUUCGGAGCCAUGGAGGGGCUUGAAAAUAAAAUUCUCAGAUGGAAAGAGUGACAAAUAACUCGAUUCUACCCUUUUGCUUUCCAAGGCACAAUUUACAUUUAUCUUAAAACCCUCAAAAUUUUGUUAUUCUUAGAAAAUCACCGUAAACAUCUUUAUUAGGGAAUUUGGCGCAAAUGUUCCCAACUUCACCUUUAGUGUGCAAAUGGUCCCUAACAUUUAUUUCAUGGCUUGAACAUCUCUAUCUCAAACUAAUGUCUCGGUUCGCAAUUGAUCAUAUUUUAAUAAGAAAAAGAUCAAUAUGUCCUUUAUUUAAAUUAGGAAAAAUAAAAUUUGUAGCUAGGUCCCUAGCCAUUGGAAAAAAUUACAAAGCCCCAAAUCUUUUAUUUAAUAAUAUUGAUUUUUAACAUACUAAAUAUAUAAUUAUAGUUGUCCCAAUUAAAUUUUCCAAAAAGAAAGAAAAAGUUAAAUUAUAUGUCAUGAAAAACUUGAAUAAAAUUAAGAUAAAUGAAAAACAAAAUGACUUAGAUAAUUUUAGGACAUUCAACCAAUAUCAUUGAUAAUUAUAUAUGAACCAAUACUAGUCAAAUAACAUUCAACUCAUAAGUCAAGUAUAUUUUUUUCAAAGCUUGGUGUUUGAUCAGUGUAAAUACGACACUUAUCUCGACUUUUUACGAGGCUUUUAUUAGUGUUUCGAAUUCAAUUCUAUUGAUUUUUUUUCCUAUAAAAUGAACCCCAAACUUUUCAUGACAUCGUUAGUGAAAUUGAUAAAAGAGAUUAAAAAGCAAGUUCACAUGAAACUGGAACAAAAAGGAAAAGGGGAAAAGAAAGAUAAAUCAACUGGAACUGAAUACGCGAAAAUACUUGGAGAAAUUAGAGUACCAAGCUCAGUUAGGAGUCCAACACAUUCAAAAUUAUGUACCACAAAUCAUUUUCAUUUUCGUCUAGACUGCCACACUAGGCACACUCUUGCACUUCAGUUCCCUAUUUUCAACCCCAAAAAUAUCUAUGAUGGAAGCCUUAGGGUCUUUUAGGUCAUUUGAUACAUGGUUUUGCGCCUUAAUUUUCAGUUUGAAUAUACUAUAAUCCAUCUACUUCAUAAGGGAGCUUGUAGGAGACACAAAUUCAGACCUAGGGUUCGGUGAAUUGAAGAACAAGGAUUGGGGAUUUUGAAGUUCUGGCUCAACGAUUCUAUUUGGUUAUGUCAAGCUAAACUCUUAUUUGUUUGAUUACUUUGAAUAUGUAGCUAAAUUUUCAUUUGCUAGGAUGGUGAUGUAAAUCACUCUUGUGAAAAUUUAAUCUAAUUUUUCAUUUUGAACUUCAAAUGUGAAUAGUGAUUGAUUACUUGUUAUUGAUUUUAUUACAUUCAAUUAUUUAGCCACCAGUUGAACUAUUUAUGGACUGUAUUGAUAUCGAGGGGUGAUAUUCAUGUUUAAAUCAAAUAUUUAACAAGUGCACGAUUACUAAAAAAAUAAAACGUAACAUAAAUCUGGAGAGCAAAAAUAGAUUUUAACUUUAUUUGAGAGAAACAGUUAAAUAAUUUAGGGAUAUUGUCUUCAACAUAAACAAGUAUUAUCAAUUAUGUGAUUGGUUGAAUUAAAGUAGAUAAGUAUACAGGUAAAAUCAAAGUUAUAUUUGAAACUUCUUCAAAGUUCAUAAAGUAUUUUUAGCUUAACUUUAAGUAAUUUUUUUAGUUAAAAUCAAAAUUCAAUUAAAACUUGGUAUAAAACUAUUUAGUUUGAUAUAUAACUAAAUAUAAGUUUUAAUGGAAUCAACACUCUAUUUGCUCUUGAUUACUUGUCCACAAUACCGUGCACUUACAAUUUUUAAGUGACAAAUGACAAAUGUGUCACAUAUUACUAAACUAAAAGACAGUUGAGAAUCGAGAAUUUUAAAUUACUAAGAAUUUUUCAAGGACAAUACAACUAAAAGACCAUUGCAAGAUGUCCUUUUUAGUAAAUGAGCACUUCUUGUGAAAAUUAGCAAAAUGAGUACUUUUAAAUGAAACUACUGAAAAUACCCCUAAUGUUAUAUUUUUAUUUUUAUUUUCAUAAAAUUCAACCAUUACUUGAUAGGUGCACAACUUUUGAGGCAAAUCUUGAAAGUCGGCAAAAAAAGUUUCAUUCUAGGAGAUCUUUUGGUAGCAAGCUGAUAAUUCGACUAAUUAAGAUAGUUAAAACUAUUUUCCAUUUUUUGAGUUGGUUAGAGUUGUUUUCUAAGAUAGUUGGAAUUAGGCCUGUGCAAUUUAACAGGAAUCGAAUCUUUCGAAUCGAAUUUGAAGGUUCCGAUUUGAUUCUCAAAAAAAAAAAAUUUGGAACCAAAAUCGAGAAUCAAUAAUCAACUAGAUUCUGUUCGAUUCUUGGCUCUUGAACUAGAACCGUGGGUACGUAAAUGGAACUGAUUUUUAUAUAAUUUUUUGUUUAUAAUUUAUAGGCUAGAUAGAAAAAUACAAAACAUAAAAACCCUAAUUUGAAUAUUAAUUAGUUUAAAACUCUAGACUAACAAAUCUAGACUGGCUCCUAAUUUUUUGCCUAUUGCCUCAUAUCAAAUUGUUGUAUGUCACAGGUUAGUACAUAUUUAUCUUUACAAUUUGGAUUUUUUAUGAGUCAAAAAAUUCAAGUUAAAUUGUGGUGUAAGUUGAUAAAUCAAAGCGUUCAUCCUCUGGGUUUACUUGUAAAAUUAUUUUAUGGAAAAAUGUGCGAUUGAAAAUGAGUAUUGAAAAAUGAGUUUUUGAAAAAAUUGAGCCAAAUUGGUUUAUCUUAAGUUCAUGGUUCUCUUUUGAAAUAUAUAUUAUUUUUUUCUUUUCUAUUCAAAAAGGGUGAGUUCAAUAUGCCAACUGUAAUUUCUUAACAUUAUAUAUGUAUUUAAUUAGUAUUUUUUUGUCAAUUCAUUUUAAAAGUAGAAGAAUUUAAGCAUUGUUCAUAAUUAAAUUAUAGGUUUUAGCAUGCCCCACUUAUGGAUUGAAUAAGAUUUAUGCAUUGUUUGAUUCCCAUUUUUUUAAAAUACAUUUUUCUUUCUCGUCUUUUCAACUACACAUUAUUCAUUAAAAUGAUAUUACACAUAAGUUAUUUCUUAUUUUUCAACCACAUAUUUUCCAUUGAAUUGACUAUUCUAAAAUUUAUUUUUUCAUAAACAUGGGGCUCCAUCACCCUCUUAUUAAGAAAAGUACUUUUUUCUCAAAUUGUAAUUUAAUUUUUGAUGCUUUAAUUUUCUUCUCUUUUCAUAGUUUUUAGUUUUCACUAUUUUGCUUCUUGAAGAUUUAUUAGCUGAAUUUUCUCAAUGCACAAAUACUUUCGAACAGUAUCGUGUAAUGUAUAAGUACUGAAAGGGACUAUAUGAAAAUGCCUAUAUAUAUAUAUAUAUAUAUAUAUAUAUAUAUAUAUAUCAUGGGUUUGAGUUUGGUUCUAUGAAUUACAAUUACCCGAAUUGUUCUAUUUACGAAAUACCCGAAGUAUAAUAGGUGAUUCUAGGUUAAAAUAUCCAGAUCGAUCCACCCGAAACCAAAGCCUUGUUAGAAUUGUCUAGUAUUCCAAUAAUUGUCUCGAAAAUGAGUAUUCUCUUGAAAAAUUUUCAUAAAAGGUAAGUCAUUUAUAUAUAUAUAAAUGUGUGUGUGUGUGUGUGUCUCCUAGACAUAAUUCAUUACUUCUAUUAGGAACAUGGAUAACAUAGAAAAGGUCAAGCCUUCUUUUAGAACAGCUCUAGUCAAAUGUUAUAUAUGCCCUUUUUGUAUGACAUCACGACACUCUACUGAAAAACAGGGGAAAAGGAAUAAAAUCACUUAGCCAAGCUUAAAAAUAGGAGAGUGAAGAGACAGGCUGAUGUAUUAGAAAAUGAUUGGGUGUUUUUGUUUUAAUUUUUCAAAUUAUUCAAUCAUGCGUCGACACAUGUUCCAUUUGGAUUUGAGACUGAAUGUGCAACAUUAUUGGGGAAAAAAGGGUAUUGUUGUAACAAUUUUGAGACUAAGUAAUUAAAUCCAUGAAGAACAUGAGCUAGGAAGCACCUUCAAGUUCUUGAGUGCAAAGAAGAGAGUGAGUUAUAAGUGACGAGGUUUUUUUUACUCAAAAUACAACAGUGCCUUAUACAUUCAGAAAAUUGAACUAAAUAUCAACAAACAUCAUUUGAGUUCACUGUGAUUCGGUGAAAAACGAAAAUAGGCGAGCUUUAGAAGAGAAACCGCAUUCCCUUAGCCCAUGUCAUCUAGAACAACUAGUCCAAACAAAGAAGAACAAGAUCGAGUUAUAAACUUUGUGAUAGAACUUCUCCAAUGUAUUUCAUAUGAUUGAAUAUGAAAAUUGCUUUAUUAUAUUUCAAUGUAUCAUCAUUUGCUAUAUCUUAAUUUGGUAGAUUUUCACUCUUACAAUUGAUUCGUCACUCAUCACCACGCGAUUGCAUUUUCGAUUGUCUAGAAAGUAAUAAUAUUAUUCGUAUAGAAAUUUGCAAGCUUACUUUUUCUAAAUAAUGGAGACAAUAAGAAAAAAACGACAAUGAAAAGCUAGAAGCCACAAAGAGGUCGAAAUGCCAUAUUCGCCACUUAAUGAUCAAUGAUUUCGAAGGAACUAGAUCUACCUGUUUUUUAUUUCCAUUCAACAGCUUUUAAGUCGCCAAUCCAUAUGUAUUAAUGAUAAUACCCAAACAACUACCAUUCAAUAGAGGUGAAUAUGAAUAUCAGAAAAUACGGUUGACUUUCUUCCAUUGCCUUGUAAUAAAAUAAUGUUUAUUUAAGGAUAAGAGAAAUUAAACAUGAGAACUCAACAGCGAAAAAAAUAAAUAUCCACAAAACACGUCUAGGAAAUAUUUGCUUGGAGAUUAUUCAAACAUGGAAAACUUGGAAUUCGCAAUUGUGAUCCCCCCAUCAACAAAAAGGUUGUGUCCAUGAACGCACUUCGACUCAUCGCUAGCCAAGAACAGAACAGCGUCAGCCACAUCCUCUGGCUUAAGUGAAACACCUUUGAGGAUAGAAUAUACAUUUCCGAAUCCCUCAUCAUCCAUUUUGUAGAAAUCCUUCGACUGCUGUGUGGGA